This 73-nucleotide transfer RNA is filed under the name Felis catus (domestic cat). It matches the Rfam family "tRNA". Rfam says of the family: Transfer RNA (tRNA) molecules are approximately 80 nucleotides in length. Their secondary structure includes four short double-helical elements and three loops (D, anti-codon, and T loops). Further hydrogen bonds mediate the characteristic L-shaped molecular structure. tRNAs have two regions of fundamental functional importance: the anti-codon, which is responsible for specific mRNA codon recognition, and the 3' end, to which the tRNAs corresponding amino acid is attached (by aminoacyl-tRNA synthetases). tRNAs cope with the degeneracy of the genetic code in two manners: having more than one tRNA (with a specific anti-codon) for a particular amino acid; and 'wobble' base-pairing, i.e. permitting non-standard base-pairing at the 3rd anti-codon position. The record is from Rfam by way of RNAcentral. RNAcentral also lists the same sequence under 2 other names. Lineage: Eukaryota; Metazoa; Chordata; Mammalia; Carnivora; Felidae.
ACCUGGCUGGCUUAGUUGGUAGAGCAUGGGACUCUUAAUCCCAGCCUUGUGAGUUCAAGUCCCACAUUGGGUG